RNAcentral lists this ribosomal RNA (467 nucleotides) under uncultured bacterium. Its description in RNAcentral is "partial 16S ribosomal RNA". It matches the Rfam family "Bacterial small subunit ribosomal RNA", at positions 28 to 507 of the family's 1533-position model. The record is from RNAcentral.
GAUGAACGCUGACAGAAUGCUUAACACAUGCAAGUCAACUUGAAUUUGGGCUUUUAACUUAGGUUUGGGUGGCGGACGGGUGAGUAACGCGUAAAGAACUUGCCUCGCAGCUAGGGACAACAUUUGGAAACGAAUGCUAAUACCUAAUAUUAUGAUAAUAGGGCAUCCUAUAAUUAUGAAAGCUAUAAGCGCUGUGAGAGAGCUUUGCGUCCCAUUAGCUAGUUGGAGAGGUAACGGCUCACCAAGGCGAUGAUGGGUAGCCGGCCUGAGAGGGUGAUCGGCCACAAGGGGACUGAGACACGGCCCUUACUCCUACGGGAGGCAACAGUGGGGAAUAUUGGACAAUGGACCGAGAGUCUGAUCCAGCAAUUCUGUGUGCACGAUGAAGUUUUUCGGAAUGUAAAGUGCUUUCAGUUGGGAAGAAACAAAUGACGGUACCAACAGAAGAAGUGACGGCUAAAUACGUG